AUGGAUCUUCUCCAGUUUGUGCUUAACUUUAAAGGCACACCACCAUGGCUGAACUCGACGGCCAUUACCGCCCUUACGGACUGUUGGAGACCGCAGACACACUCUUUUCACCUUGCUCUUGGUGAGAUGACCGUUACUUUGGAGGAUAUUGCGAUGAUCUCCGGUCUUCCGAUCGAGGGCAGGGCUCUUACCGGGAAGGUGAGGUCUGAGGGGUGGCGACAAAGGGUUGCAGGUUUGGUUGGUGUUGAACCUCCCCCGUGA
Molecule: ribosomal RNA, 261 nt
Filed under: Triticum aestivum (bread wheat)
Lineage: Eukaryota; Viridiplantae; Streptophyta; Magnoliopsida; Poales; Poaceae
Description: partial small subunit ribosomal RNA
Source: RNAcentral